RNAcentral lists this ribosomal RNA (326 nucleotides) under uncultured eukaryote. RNAcentral's name for it is "partial 18S ribosomal RNA". It matches the Rfam family "Eukaryotic small subunit ribosomal RNA", at positions 1470 to 1796 of the family's 1831-position model. The record is from RNAcentral.
CCCUUAGAUGUUCUGGGCCGCACGCGUGCUACACUGAUGCGCUCAACGAGUUUUAACCUUGCCUGGAAAGGUUGGGUAAUCUUUUUAAAACGCAUCGUGAUGGGGAUAGAUUAUUGCAAUUAUUAAUCUUGAACGAGGAAUUCCUAGUAAACGCAAAUCAUCAAUUUGCAUUGAUUACGUCCCUGCCCUUUGUACACACCGCCCGUCGCACCUACCGAUUGAAUGGUCCGGUGAAGCCUCGGGAUUGUGGCCAGUUCACUUUAUUGGGAGUUGGCUGUGAGAACUUGUCUAAACCUUAUCAUUUAGAGGAAGGUGAAGUCGUAACA